UUUCCAGACUCCUACGGGAGGCAGCAGUGGGGAAUAUUGGGCAAUGGGCGCAAGCCUGACCCAGCAACGCCGCGUGAAGGAAGAAGACUUUCGGGUUGUAAUCUUCUUUUCUCAGGGACGAAGCAAGUGACGGUACCUGAGGAAUAAGCCACGGCUAACUACGUGCCAGCAGCCGCGGUAAUACGUAGGUGGCAAGCGUUAUCCGGAUUUACUGGGUGUAAAGGGCGUGUAGGCGGGACUGCAAGUCAGAUGUGAAAACCACGGGCUCAACCUGUGGCCUGCAUUUGAAACUGUAGUUCUUGAGUACUGGAGAGGCAGACGGAAUUCCUAGUGUAGCGGUGAAAUGCGUAGAUAUUAGGAGGAACACCAGUGGCGAAGGCGGCUUACUGGACUGUAAAUGACGCUGAGGCUCGAAAGCGUGGGGAGCAAACAGGAUUAGAUACCCCUGUA
This 450-nucleotide ribosomal RNA is filed under the name uncultured bacterium. RNAcentral's name for it is "bacterial SSU rRNA". It matches the Rfam family "Bacterial small subunit ribosomal RNA", at positions 328 to 792 of the family's 1533-position model. The record is from RNAcentral.